Molecule: long non-coding RNA, 325 nt
Organism: Pseudopipra pipra
Lineage: Eukaryota; Metazoa; Chordata; Aves; Passeriformes; Pipridae
Exons: 3
Source: RefSeq, a predicted model, not a curated record
GGGGCGGGUGCGGUCGGUUGUGUGUGAGGGCUGAGGGCGCGGCCCCGCUGCUGCCCGGGCUGCGGAGGGGAGAGCGCCUUGGCCGCUGGCCUGGCUCGUGGUUUCCCCUGGUGCUGGGGAGUGGAGGCGAGUUGUGCUUCCUGCUGGGAGAGAGAAGGGCCUUGGGAAGCUGCUCCAUGAGCCACAGCUGUGCCGAGCCCGGGAGUCUGUCCAGCAGGAUGUCGAGUGCCACCGUGUCCCUGAGGUUCCCCUUUCUGCUGUUGGGAGAGCACGAGGUGGAUGGAGAGGAUCCCCAGCCAUCUGCAGGCAAAAGGGACUCGCACAA